Molecule: non-coding RNA, 73 nt
Organism: Aspergillus sclerotioniger CBS 115572
Lineage: Eukaryota; Fungi; Ascomycota; Eurotiomycetes; Eurotiales; Aspergillaceae
Source: the annotation of a RefSeq genome assembly
CCUCCUAUGAUUCAGUUGGUAGAGCGCAUGACUAUUAAUCAUGAGCUUCGUGGUUCGAAUCCGCGUGGGAGUA